Molecule: long non-coding RNA, 207 nt
Filed under: Oryza brachyantha (malo sina)
Lineage: Eukaryota; Viridiplantae; Streptophyta; Magnoliopsida; Poales; Poaceae
Description: long non-coding RNA (OBRA_LNC000134)
Source: RNAcentral
AUCGUUUACCUUUUUCCCCGAAAGAGACAAUGUCACGCCCUAACCCUAGGAACCCCCUAGGUCGGGCCUGUGCUCUAGGAGAUCUUCCCUCACACAACCAACACACAUGUCUUUUAAAUGACUUCCCGGUCGGUCACCCAUCCCAAGAUUGCUCUAGGCCAAGCACACUUAACCUUGGAGUUCUUUUGAGAUAAGCUUCCGGAAAAG